RNAcentral lists this ribosomal RNA (794 nucleotides) under Clostridioides difficile. RNAcentral describes it as "partial 23S ribosomal RNA". It matches the Rfam family "Bacterial large subunit ribosomal RNA", at positions 401 to 1197 of the family's 2925-position model. Lineage: Bacteria; Bacillati; Bacillota; Clostridia; Peptostreptococcales; Peptostreptococcaceae. The record is from RNAcentral.
UAUGAUCCAGAGUACCACGGGACACGUGAAACCCUGUGGGAAGCAGGAGGGACCACCCUCCAAGGCUAAAUACUACCUAGUGACCGAUAGCGUAUAGUACCGUGAGGGAAAGGUGAAAAGAACCCCGGGAGGGGAGUGAAAUAGAACCUGAAACCCUGCACUUACAAGCUGUGGAAGCACAUUUCUUGUGUGACCGCGUACUUUUUGUAGAACGGGCCAACGAGUUACGUUAAGUAGCAAGGUUAAGCACUUAAGGUGCGGAGCCGUAGCGAAAGCGAGUUUUAACUGAGCGUUCAGUUACUUGACGUAGACCCGAAACCGGGCGACCUACCCAUGAGCAGGAUGAAGCGAAAGUAAAAUUUCGUGGAGGUCCGAACCCACGAGCGUUGAAAAGCUCGGGGAUGACUUGUGGGUAGCGGUGAAAUUCCAAUCGAGCCCGGAGAUAGCUGGUUCUCCCCGAAAUAGCUUUAGGGCUAGCCUCAAGGUGAGAGAUACGGAGGUAGAGCACUGAAUGUCCUAGGGGGUAUUGCACCUACCGAAGACUAUCAAACUCCGAAUGCCGUCAUCUUAUACUUGGGAGUCAGACUGUGGGUGAUAAGAUUCAUAGUCGAAAGGGCAACAGCCCAGAUCGUCAGCUAAGGUCCCUAAAUGUAAGUUAAGUGGUAAAGGAUGUGGGAUUGCACAGACAACCAGGAUGUUGGCUUAGAAGCAGCCACUCAUUCAAAGAGUGCGUAAUAGCUCACUGGUCGAGUGAUCCUGCGCCGAAGAUUUCCGGGGCUAAAACUUACUACCGA